RNAcentral lists this ribosomal RNA (492 nucleotides) under uncultured bacterium. Its description in RNAcentral is "partial 16S ribosomal RNA". It matches the Rfam family "Bacterial small subunit ribosomal RNA", at positions 29 to 507 of the family's 1533-position model. The record is from RNAcentral.
AGUGAACGCUGGCGGUAGGCCUAACACAUGCAAGUCGAACGGCAGCACAGUAAGAGCUUGCUCUUACGGGUGGCGAGUGGCGGACGGGUGAGGAAUACAUCGGAAUCUACUUUUUCGUGGGGGAUAACGUAGGGAAACUUACGCUAAUACCGCAUACGACCUACGGGUGAAAGCAGGGGGUCUUCGGACCUUGCGCGAUUGAAUGAGCCGAUGUCGGAUUAGCUAGUUGGCGGGGUAAAGGCCCACCAAGGCGACGAUCCGUAGCUGGUCUGAGAGGAUGAUCAGCCACACUGGAACUGAGACACGGUCCAGACUCCUACGGGAGGCAGCAGUGGGGAAUAUUGGACAAUGGGCGCAAGCCUGAUCCAGCCAUACCGCGUGGGUGAAGAAGGCCUUCGGGUUGUAAAGCCCUUUUGUUGGGAAAGAAAAGCAGCAGGUUAAUACCCCGCUGUUCUGACGGUACCCGAAGAAUAAGCACCGGCUAACUUCGUG